ACACUCAGCAUGCACAUGGAGGCU
RNAcentral lists this microRNA (24 nucleotides) under Sus scrofa (pig). Its description in RNAcentral is "ssc-mir307". The record is from RNAcentral. Lineage: Eukaryota; Metazoa; Chordata; Mammalia; Artiodactyla; Suidae.